This 240-nucleotide unclassified non-coding RNA is filed under the name soil metagenome. RNAcentral's name for it is "partial contains 5.8S ribosomal RNA, internal transcribed spacer 2, and large subunit ribosomal RNA". The record is from RNAcentral.
AACCAUAGAAACCUGCGGAGUACCUGCGGAGGGAUCAUUAUGAAUUUGAACUUGUGUGGCUGUUUCAUUUACAUGAACGCUCGCAAUUCUUUUUCUGUGAACUGUUCUUGAGUUUUUUUUUCUCACAAUUUAUUUUGUGAGAGAGAGACUCGGGUCAUUUUUGUUUUCUUGAUUUUUUAUUCCAUAUUUUUUUUUGAGUAGUACUUGCAAAAGAAUGAAAAAAAAUAAUAAACCAAGACA